RNAcentral lists this ribosomal RNA (253 nucleotides) under uncultured bacterium. RNAcentral describes it as "partial 16S ribosomal RNA". It matches the Rfam family "Bacterial small subunit ribosomal RNA", at positions 524 to 776 of the family's 1533-position model. The record is from RNAcentral.
UACGUAGGGUGCGAGCGUUGUCCGGAAUUACUGGGCGUAAAGCGCGCGUAGGCGGUUCGAUAAGUCGGAUGUGAAAGCCCUGGGCUCAACCUGGGAAUGCCAUUCGAUACUGUCGAGCUAGAGUAUGGUAGAGGAAAGCGGAAUUCCACAUGUAGCGGUGAAAUGCGUAGAUAUGUGGAGGAACAUCAGUGGCGAAGGCGGCUUUCUGGACUAAUACUGACGCUGAGGUGCGAAAGCGUGGGGAGCAAACAGG